Non-coding RNA from Klebsormidium nitens, 72 nucleotides. Lineage: Eukaryota; Viridiplantae; Streptophyta; Klebsormidiophyceae; Klebsormidiales; Klebsormidiaceae. The record is from Rfam.
GCCUACGUAGCCCAGUGGUAGAGCGCUCCCUUGGUAAGAGAGAGAGAACUGGUUCAAUUCCAGUCAUAGGCU